GAUGAACGCUGGCGGCGUGCCUAAUACAUGCAAGUCGAGCGAACGGACGAGAAGCUUGCUUCUCUGAUGUUAGCGGCGGACGGGUGAGUAACACGUGGAUAACCUACCUAUAAGACUGGGAUAACUUCGGUAAACCGGAGCUAAUACCGGAUAAUAUUUUGAACCGCAUGGUUCAAAAGUGAAAGACGGUCUUGCUGUCACUUAUAGAUGGAUCCGCGCUGCAUUAGCUAGUUGGUAAGGUAACGGCUUACCAAGGCAACGAUGCAUAGCCGACCUGAGAGGGUGAUCGGCCACACUGGAACUGAGACACGGUCCAGACUCCUACGGGAGGCAGCAGUAGGGAAUCUUCCGCAAUGGGCGAAAGCCUGACGGAGCAACGCCGCGUGAGUGAUGAAGGUCUUCGGAUCGUAAAACUCUGUUAUUAGGGAAGAACAUAUGUGUAAGUAACUGUGCACAUCUUGACGGUACCUAAUCAGAAAGCCACGGCUAACUACGUG
RNAcentral lists this ribosomal RNA (497 nucleotides) under uncultured bacterium. RNAcentral describes it as "partial 16S ribosomal RNA". It matches the Rfam family "Bacterial small subunit ribosomal RNA", at positions 28 to 507 of the family's 1533-position model. The record is from RNAcentral.